This 327-nucleotide unclassified non-coding RNA is filed under the name soil metagenome. RNAcentral's name for it is "partial contains 5.8S ribosomal RNA, internal transcribed spacer 2, and large subunit ribosomal RNA". The stretch from base 1 to 120 matches the Rfam family "5.8S ribosomal RNA", at positions 35 to 154 of the family's 154-position model. The record is from RNAcentral.
GAUGAAGAACGUAGCGAAAUGCGAUAAGUAAUGUGAAUUGCAGAAUUCAGUGAAUCAUCGAAUCUUUGAACGCACAUUGCGCCCCCUGGUAUUCCGGGGGGCAUGCCUGUUCGAGCGUCAUUUCAACCCUCAAGCUCUGCUUGGUAUUGAGUCCAUGUCAGCAAUGGCAGGCUCCAAAAUCAGUGGCGGCGCCGCUGGGUCCUGAACGUAGUAAUAUCUCUCGUUACAGGUGCUCGGCGUGCUUCUGCCAAAACCCCAAUUUUUCUAUGGUUGACCUCGGAUCAGGUAGGGAUACCCGCUGAACUUAAGCAUAUCAAUAACGGAGGA